CAAUAGCGUAUAUUUAAGUUGCUGCAGUUAAAAAGCUCGUAGUUGGAUUUCGGGUGGGAAUGGCCGGUCCGCCGUUUCGGUGUGCACUUGCUACGCCCACCUUGCUGCCGGGGACGUGCUCUUGAGUUCACGCUCGGGACACGGAGUCGGCGAGGUUACUUUGAGUAAAUUAGAGUGUUCAAAGCAGGCCUACGCUCUGAAUACAUUAGCAUGGAAUAACACGAUAGGACUCUGGCCUAUCUUGUUGGUCUGUAGGACCGGAGUAAUGAUUAAGAGGGACAGUCGGGGGCAUUCGUAUUCAGUUGUCAGAGGUGAAAUUCUUGGAUUUACGGAAGACGAACAACUGCGAAAGCAUUUGCCAAGGAUGUUUUCAUUAA
This 377-nucleotide ribosomal RNA is filed under the name uncultured eukaryote. RNAcentral describes it as "partial 18S ribosomal RNA". It matches the Rfam family "Eukaryotic small subunit ribosomal RNA", at positions 592 to 976 of the family's 1831-position model. The record is from RNAcentral.